GUAACCUACCUUCGAGAUCGGGAUAACUCCGGGAAACCGGGGCUAAUACCGAAUAAUCUGUUGGACCGCAUGGUCCGACAGUAAAAGGCGGCUUCUGCCGUCACUCGAAGAUGGACCCGCGGCGCAUUAGCUAGUUGGUAAGGUAACGGCUUACCAAGGCGACGAUGCGUAGCCGACCUGAGAGGGUGAUCGGCCACACUGGGACUGAGACACGGCCCAGACUCCUACGGGAGGCAGCAGUAGGGAAUCUUCCGCAAUGGACGAAAGUCUGACGGAGCAACGCCGCGUGAACGAUGAAGGUCUUCGGAUCGUAAAGUUCUGUUGUUAGGGAAGAACAAGUACCAGAGGAAAUGCUGGUACCUUGACGGUACCUAACCAGAAAGCCCCGGCUAACUACGUGCCAGCAGCCGCGGUAAUACGUAGGGGGCAAGCGUUGUCCGGAAUUAUUGGGCGUAAAGCGCGCGCAGGCGGUUCCUUAAGUCUGAUGUGAAAGCCCACAGCUCAACUGUGGAGGGCCAUUGGAAACUGGGGAACUUGAGUACAGAAGAGGAG
This 552-nucleotide ribosomal RNA is filed under the name Pontibacillus yanchengensis. RNAcentral describes it as "bacterial SSU rRNA". It matches the Rfam family "Bacterial small subunit ribosomal RNA", at positions 121 to 659 of the family's 1533-position model. Lineage: Bacteria; Bacillati; Bacillota; Bacilli; Caryophanales; Bacillaceae. The record is from RNAcentral.